UCAAGCAAGCACGCGGUCGAUCUGCGGCGCCCUUCUGCUGCAAGUGCGCGCGACGGUGGAACUUAACCGCGCGUAAACAAACAACAACAAAUCUAUUCCGUGGCCCGUGCUUAAGGUCACGACGAGGUUUUGGAGAUACCCAUGAUCUUCCCGACAGCUUGGUACCGGAGAUAAAGGACCGGUCGGUGUUAAUUAUUGUCCGUGAUAGAAUAUAUACAAAAAAGGCGAGCCGAGAAAGCCGUUGUGUGUGAUGUGAAUAAAGAGCCGCAAAGUUUGCUCCUCGCAAAGAAAAAAAGAAAUACAAAGUAAUCGAAAAAAAAACAAGCGGUGAGAGUUGAAAUUGAACGGUGUGGAGGAAAUUGUGCGUACGAGUGGUUGUUGGCUGGUGCGAGCAAUCCCAUUCCGGUAGCGCAUUCCAGCUGAACAUUAAACAUCCUCCGGCGAUGCAGCUCGGCCGCAGCAUCAUUUGAAGCGCAUGCAGCACGAGGCGAGGAAAUCUCAUCAACUCACAACCCACAGCCAUACACACACACACCGCAACAUCAUCCUAAACGGGUGCUAACAACGACGGAGUGAUCAUCACGGUGAAAAGUACCUGAUUGAACGAGAGAGUGUGCAAGCGAAAGAAAGUCUUUUACCCGUCGUUACUGCAGUCUCUACUCCAUCUGCUCCCUUCAAAGCCUAUCAAACGCAGUGAGCUUUAAGUGAAACAAGUGCUUUAGAACACCAAAAACAACCCCCACCAGAGUGAAUAGUGCGUUUCGUGCGUUUCGGUAGAUAGAAUGCCUUGAGUCGCCCGACUCGCAAAGUGCAACUCGCCAGUGGUUUUCCCAUUUUGUACACCCACGUGUUAUCGCACCCCUCCUUCCCCUCUUCCCCGACUCCUCGCAGGUCAGGUGCGCGGAAGUGAUUCAGAAGCGACCGCGCCCCAUCACGGUGAGAUAGAUGCGAAAGCAAGUGCCGAACCAACCGAACAG
This is a long non-coding RNA of Anopheles nili, 977 nucleotides long. RefSeq lists it as uncharacterized. The transcript has 3 exons. NCBI's taxonomy places the organism in Eukaryota, Metazoa, Arthropoda, Insecta, Diptera, Culicidae. The record is from RefSeq and is a predicted model, not a curated record.